AUUGCCAAUCAGAAACACCGGUGACUUACACUACGUUUCUUUCUGUUAUUAGGAGGUUGCGUCUGUUUGAUGAAGUAAACAAUACGUCUCCUUGCUAGACCAGACAAAGCACAAAAGGUGCACACACAGGCAUGAAACCCGACUCGCCCUACCAUACUAAAAUAAGGACUUCUUUUUUCUUUCUUUUUUUUGAAAUAAAAAUGGGGACUUCACUGGAAAACUAGUUAAACUACAAUAAACAAAAACUACAAGACCCUUAAAAGCCAUGGACGUAAAUCCCAAGCCCAAAGCCCAAUCCAAGGGACAAUGAGAAUCGUAGCCAAUCCCAAAUGCUGCACAGCCACCACAAACUUAGCACCAGUACCACCACCUCUGCCACACCACCAUCUCGUCUAACCGCCACCAUCGCGCCACCACCUCCAUCACGUACACCAACAAAAGGCCUCCUGCAUCACGGCGGUGAACCUACCCAGAUUCGGAUCCGGCUGACAACUAGAUCCAAACCAAAAACAAGUUAACCAGCACAUCAACCACGGGAUCACUCGAUCCCAGCCUCACCUUUGCCAGCCCGCCGCAACAAAACGACUGGAAGAAGACGUCGUGCAGCACCGAAUUCAAACUCCAAAUUCGAGUCCACCUCCGCCAAUCUUGCUGCUUCAACCCUAUCCUCCUCCUGCUUCAGUCAUGCAAAUUCCAAUUAUCCAAAGUCAAGAAAGUUAUGACUCCGAUCCCAUCACCAGUAUAGUAUAGGACCGAUUCAAUUGUCAACCAUUCUCGAUCUUCCAGUGCAAAUCGGUAGGUUGAAUUAAUCUAAAGCUGAAGCAUCGGCAAUAUAUAUGGUAAUGGCAAUGCCAUUGUUGAUAUUGAUUUGGUGACCCAGAGCCAUAUCAAAUCGUUAUGGGCACCAGAAGAGCUUCCAGUCAAGAACAGAAAAUCCACUGCCAUAUUAUCUAUGCUUUGGUGGUGGAGAAAGACUUGCGUGGGGCACCCGCACCGCCACGUGGUGCUGCAGACCAAUCACUGUUCAGCAUGAGAUCUUGUAGGUAUUGUAUAUUUAAAAAAUAAGGGCAGUUUCAUAAAAGAUCUUGUAGGGUCGGGCCGGAACUGGAAGUCCGACUUACUGUUGCUUGUCAAUUAUUAGGUUUUGAAA
Long non-coding RNA from Rosa rugosa (rugosa rose), 1150 nucleotides. RefSeq lists it as uncharacterized. The transcript has 2 exons. Lineage: Eukaryota; Viridiplantae; Streptophyta; Magnoliopsida; Rosales; Rosaceae. The record is from RefSeq and is a predicted model, not a curated record.